GUCAGGUUGUUGGCUACAAAUGACCAACUCACGAUCCUUAAAAUUCUAGUUUAUUAGAUUGAAAUGUUGCGAUGAAAUCAAAUCAUAAAUCUUGGGGCUGAUUCACACUCAUACUCACAAGCUAGCUAUGAAUAUCUGAUCUGUGAAGCACCAGAGUCAAGUAUACCUAUCCCACAAGCGUUGGAGUCUGCUGUCGAUGGCUGAUUGAGUCUUCUUCCAACAUGGUGUUGUUUUCCAGAAGGGGAUCACUGGCUGGUCCUUCUAGCUGGACAGGUCAGGUGCUGGUCAAGUUGAUGAUCAAGAGGGUGCAUUUGAGGGUCACUCUUCACUGCCUUUUAUCUGUCCUUGGCAGACUUUGGUGACUUCCCAGUUUUCGAGCUUGCCCAAUCCAGGGGUCGUUGACCCUUGGGGGAUGUGCCCCUUGGUGGCUACUGGAUGGCAGCUUUUAACCCCGGGGUCAAAUCCAUGAGUAUGUACAGUUUGGGGAGUUCAUUGAUGAAUUUUGAUUAAUUUAUUGUUGUCAUGAAUAGGGCUCCGGGAGCGGUCUAUCUGGCAAUAUUCAGCCCCAAAAGUUGGUUUUGGGCUCCAAUUAAUUCAAACUAGAGCUUCUGUCCCUUUUUAAUACUGAAGGUUCAGGUAGUUCCCAGCUGCUACAUUGGCUAUUUGGUAGGUGUCAAGCUGGUUAACUUGUUACUGUAGCUAGCUACUGUGUUAUGCAUUCAAUUACUGAUCCACUCACUCAUUCAGGUCUGGCCUGAUACAGGGAGGCGGUCGUUCGAGUCCCACCCUUGCUAGCAUUGUUACAGGGUAAAGAGUAUAAAAUAUAAAAAUACAAGACUAUCAAAUAUAAAUGCCAUGGCACACAAAUAGAUAAAAAUAUCAAAAUAGAAUAAGGGGGGAUAUAAAUGCACACCUACAAAAUGUAGAACACCUGUGUAAGAAAAAUACCCAAAUAAUUCUAUAUCUUGUAGUAAGGGAGGGAAAAGAGAAGAGAGAUAUCCAAACAGGGGAAUUAUUGAUGGAAGGGGAGACUCCUUGUUACAGUGGGGGACAGGCAGGGAAAGAGGCUUCCUGCUACAGGGUUUGGGGGUGGGGGCUGCCACAUGUCCGCUGCCCCCAGCAGUGCACAGCCCACAGCUCUGGCAGCAGCAGCCUGCCAGACCAUCAGAGCUAUGGCUGGCUAUCAGCACAGCCCUGGGGCUGCACGUUACUGCUUCACCCUCAUGGAGAAUGGGCCCAGCUUAGCCCACCCCAUUGGCACACACCUUUUGGACAAGAGCCAUGGGUGGUGGCAGGAGGCAUCCUGGUCCUGUCCAAAUGUGAACUAGCAAAGCGGGCCGAGCUGGGUUGGGUUGGACUGGGCCUAUUCUAUGUGCACAGCUUGUGGAUGAGGCAGUGCUGCAGCAAGCACAGCCUAGCUGGCUGCUAGUGCUGGGUGUGUAAGGGUUUGUUGGGGGAGGGGUUGAGCAGGGGCCAUUACAUGCCUGCCCCCUCCCCUCUACCUGCACCCUGUGGCGCUGGCAGCAGCAGACAACUGGAUCAUGGCCCAGCUGCAGGCAUAGCCUGCAGUGGCACAGUGCUGCCUGAUAUGGGCUCUGUACAUGCUGAAUGGACCCAACCCAGCCUGGGCCGCCCCGCUAGCACAUGGCUUUCCCAGUCCUGUCCUAAGCCAUGUGCUAGUGGGCUGGGCCAGGCCCAUUCAGCAUGUACAGAGCCUACAUCAGGCAGUACCGUGCUGCUGAAGGGGGCAGCUGGGGGGCAGGUGUGUGGCAGCCCCUGCUCAAACCCCCACACAAACCCAUCCUUCCCACAUCUUCCCAUCACUCUUCACACCCCCCACCCCCAUGUCCCUGAUAACUUACCUGGGACAGCACCCAGGUCCUGGUCAUGCCUCAGCCUUGCCCCACUUCUGCUUACCCCAGCAUACUAAGGGAGUGUGCCCCAUGUACUGGAGCAGCAACAGCACCAUAGAGAUGCUCUGGCCAGAUACCAAAGCAUCUCUCUGGAGGACCCACCUCCAGGUUGCCUCAAGCAUUGGUCCUGGAUGCACCCUGAGAAUUUAUUCUAUUCUAGGAUUCCUUUGACCAAGAAUGCCCCAUCCCUGGCUCUCACAUGCUUUCCCUGAACUUUGUCUGUGAGCCAAAGUUCUGCCUUUAUUGUAGCUAGGGCUUGACCCAUUAAUGGCUUUGAAAAUUAGACCCUUGCAGAAGCCCCCUGUCCAUAUCUGAAAUCACUUUUAAGGCUUUGGUUCUAAGCACAUACUCAUGGCAGCCUAAGCCACAGCAAAGAUGAGUAGCCCCCUUCUCUACCAGCUGAAGGAAUGGGGGGUCUGUGCAAAGGCAAUGUCUAGGCUAGCUCCUCGGGUCAGUCUCACCCAGAUUAAAGUUCUCUUCCUCCUGCUAAAUAUGGUGUUCUUAGAACUCUAAAUAGCAUCCAACUAGGUGAUUUUUUUCUGUUUUGAAACAUCAACUUGCCUGAACUGGGCCCAUGCCAGAGCCCCAGGUGCAGAGUGCAAAGAAGCUUUGCAGCCUCCCAGGUCUGAGACUGGGAAACCCAAAGAAUUAGGAUCCUGUUUUCUAGGACAUCCAACCCCUGUCAGACAAAGAAGAAGGCAACCAAGCCUGGUGGCCACCUAGAGCACCAGACAGCACUGAGCAGAGGCUCACUCUGUAAAUACAUGUUUAUUACGAAAGGUGUUGGAUGUUAUGAUUCCUUUUAACUCCCCUGUUCCCCCCCCAUUCCACUUCUCCUAUAGUGGUUCUAGGAUGUGUGGUCCAAGAUCUCAUGCACCACAGUGCUGUGUGUACUCCAUAAUUUGCUGUAUGUGCUGACUGUAUGAGCUAUCUAGGAACUAGACCAGGAGUAUCCAACCUUUUUGAAUGUGGGGCUGGAUCAUGAACUUUUUAUCACCCAGUGGGCCGUCAAGCCAUAUUCAAACACCCUCUGUCCUGGGCCAGAGAAACCCUGCCUGUUACUGCAAGGUUCACAGUAGCUGCUAGUGGGCAGGGGCAGGAGGGACCCAUUCUGCAUCCAGCCAGCUACUGCCCCAGAGACUGAAGGGGAGAAAUAAAUAGCUCCACAUCUCCAUCCCUCGAGCAGCGCAGCCCCACGAGCCGGUGCUGCCUGAGGGAAGCUGGAGCGAAGCGGUCACUGCACUGUAGCCUCCUGCCCGCCCGCACAGCUCCGCUCACCAUGGUGCCUGGUGGCCUGCGCACGCAGCCCCGGUGGCCUCAGCGCUGCGAGCCCAGAGAGCGGGGUCUGGCAGACACCAGCUCCCACUGCCUUGCCCUGCAGAGGUCACGCCAGGACCCUGCCUGCCGAGGCCCCGCCCCCUGUGCUGGCUUCUCACGUGCUGCUGGGGAUGGGAAGAGGCCGGGUUGGCAUCAGCCAGCAGAGGCAGCAGCAGAGCUGUGUGCCACCUGGGACUGACCAGCGCAGGCCAUAUGUUGAACAAGCCUGAACUAGACUUACGAGACACUAGCAGUCUGUGCCAGAACUGCUUCCUUUAGUAUUCCACAGAGCCACACAUUCACAUGAUGCUUUUUACCAGCUCUAGAUCCCUGACAAAGAUAUUAUAAAAAAGAUCUGAUCUACAUUCCCUGUCACUGGUGCCAUGGAGAGGGGAUGAGAGAAAAGCUGUAUUCUUUUUUUUCACUCAUUGGUGGUUGUUGCAGGAAAGACAAGUUCUAGGUUUGGAGAUCAUCCUUGCCCAUUACAGAGAAUAGCUCUGUAUCUGUGAUUAUACUGAGAAACUCCGCUAGCUGGAAUCAGUGUUGGACUCAACACCGGGGUCAUGGCCACAAAGAUAGGAAGUUGCUGACAUAUUCCACAGUCCAAUUUUUUGUAGAUCAGAGCAAGGAUCAAUGAGUGACAUCCCUUCAGACAUUUGCCCCCAUGUCAGUGAUGAGGAACCACAUACAAUUUGUUUCUCUUGGGGACGAGGAGGGUUCAUGUAUCACUGUCCAGCCAGUGCUUUAGAGAAGCAAAGUGCUAUGGAAGAACCAAGCAAUGUUAGUUAUUAUUCAGUUGGUCUAAGAGGCCUUUGCUUUGACAAGACAGGAAGUUUAACACUACAGCACUGCUGUGUGUGUUUGGUGUGGGGAGGAGGCGGGGGCUAAUAUGCUGUAUCCUGUGGAUGGCACAGCUGUAGCACCUGUAGCGGGCAAACUAAAAGCCUUAGCAUAACUCAGUCAUGGUCCAGGCCUUCCCAGAGCUAAGCAACAAAAUUGAACAGAGUGCCUUCUGUGGCACUGGGAGAUGUGAGUGGUGUGAUUGGGCACUGGGCGAGCAAAGGGCAGCAGUUUCCCUAUAAGGAAUGUACCUGGCACAGUGCCAGAGGAUUGGUGCACCAUAUAAGGAAUGCUUGGCACAGAGCCAGAGGAUUGGACAAUUUGGGAUAAGUUACAGAAGUGAUGGACAAACAAAGGAACAUGUGUGUCUUCUGUGUUGCCACCCUGGAGAGACAGGAGCAGCCUUGGACUUCUUGUUUGAACAAUGAGGCAUCCAGAAACUAAUAUCCCACACACCUAGCAGAGGGUCUGAGGCCGGUACCACCAAAGGUCACUGCUGUAACGCCUGAAGGAACCGCUUGCCGGGUCGUAUUGCAAGGAAGAACACUUGUAAUAAACCUAGGGAUUACUAUUAAAAGUUCACUUGAUACUAAAUCAGACGAGGGGCCAUGUCAAUGCUUGGGGGUCUCUGGUAAAAGGAAUCCUAGAGGCACCUAGCAAACGAGAUGCCUCUCCCCAGUGUAACACAGUGUCAGUGCACAGGAAUCCAGAAGUUGCCACUGUCUAGGACAAUCUUUUCAGCGUCCUAGUGAGCUGGGACUGAUGUUAAUAACACGCCUUGUCUUUCAGCUGAGUCACUGUCUAACAGCUUCAUAAUAUAAAAUACCUGAGAUUCAGUGACCAAGGGAACCGACCACGAAACUGGAGACACAGCAAUGAGACUAGACUAAACAGUGCUGUGUUUCAAGGUUGUUGAUAUGUUACCCUAAAGGAAAAGCUCUCAAGUGACCCUGAGGGUCAAGCUUGUUUUGUUCUCAUCCGCACGGGGUUCCCUUUACUCCCAUGGACUGUCCUGGAAGGGAUUAUCAGAGCUAGGACCAUCAUGUCCUGGCAGUAGGCACCCAAAGAAGAAUACCCCUGCACUAGCCAGAUGUGCCUGUUCACUCCUGUUUGGCAUCGCCAAGUGAUUUUGGGGUGAUGUUUGGUCCAGUAAUUAAGGCAGCAGAGUGGAGAAUGCAUAGCCAGAUACCAGUGUUGGGGCUGGCCACUUAAAAUUAAUUUGGGUUUUUAAAAAUAAUUCCAGGUCACUCUUGAGACCUUUUGUCUAGAAAUGCAGCAGAGCAUGGUUAUCCCUACACCCUGCUUCCGGGACACUGUGCUGCACUGGGCAUGUUGACAUUGCAGUCACUACAAGUGUAGACCUACCUGAAUUAACUUCAAACCAACUAGCUCAGCUGCUGCUGCCAGUCCAGCUCCACCAGCAUGAAAGCUCAGUGUGGGCUAAUUGCUUAGAUAUUUAUCCAACUUCCUGGGUAGGUUGUGCAGUCUGUACUGAACUCUGGGCAGCUUUAGCUGCACUACUGGCAGUACUCUGCUCGGGUAUGUCUGCAAAAGCUUCCAUCUCAGCAGUGACUGCAGCACAGACAUACCCACAGUAGCCAACAUUAACAUACAUGCCCACAGUUUUGGAAGCAUGUCUCCUUGCCACUGGCUCACGUUGCUUUGCUCUGAGCUAAAGAACAUUAUGCUUGACCUUGGAGAAACAUUGCUGCAGGACUGUGGGAAUGACUAUAAAUUCCAAGGCUAAUGACCACCCUCCUCAGCAUUGAGUUACUACCAGUAGUAUAAACAUAGUUGUAAAAAAGGUGAAAGAAACAUUAGCAGCAACUGGAGCAGCAUAUUGAAGUAAAACAAAUAGAUCAUUAUUCUGCCCUAGAAUAUAAAUUGUUCACACUGGAAUAGCCUCACCAAAGCAACAAGCAGCACAGCAAGGUAAGAAAGGAAGCUUCAGGUACUGGGCUUAAACUGAGUAUUAAGGAUGUAUGUGUUGCAAUGAAAGGGCAAAGAGUGUGGCUCAAUGCAUUUCACUCUUUCUUCCCAGGAGAAUGAAAGACAAAGAUAAAGAAAUAAAAGGUUGCCAUGCCCUGGGGAAAAACCUGGAGGCAGAGCCGACAGUGAUGCCAUUGUUAGCAGUUGCCUGUGUGAAGUUCUAUAAGCUAUAAGUGAACACUGCUGCUUCAGAGAUAGGUAUUAACAGCAUCAGCUGAAAGUGUCAAUCUCUCCUGCCACGACUUUGAUGGGAGUAACUAAAGGGGGACAACACAAGAGAGGAGUGCUCCUUAGUUUUAAUAACAAGCAUCAGCAAUGCCCGCUCACAAGAACUGUAACUCAGCUAGCCACCAGCUGUCGGUCCCUCAGCCGGCUCUCCCUACAAGUUCCCGAUUCACUUCUCAGUCCUGCAAUGAAUACUCAUCAGGUGGGCAUUUGCAAGCCUGCCCCGUUUAUCAACUCACAGCAACAAAGUCCCUGUCGCGGAUCUGUACAGAGCUGCAAUCGUCCGGCUGAAUCAGCAGUCCAUCUUCCAAUGGGCCACAUACCCCAACACUCGCCGCUUCAACAAGAAAUUCUUGGUUAAUCUCUCUCUCAUCACCUGUGCCUCCAUGCAGGCUGCUUGCCAUCUCUGGUGUCUAAAACCUCGGCUCUUCUUCCCCUUUCAGGGAAGUGUUAAUAACACCGACAGUCCUUUAUACAAUGUUUCCACCCAGAUGUUGUCAAUCUCUGGUUGUUGGCUGCCAGCUGGGAAGACUUAAUUGGCAAAUAAGCCUUUUAUUAUUUCUUUCUGAUUAAACACCUCAUCGCUGUCAGCAAGUAAUGGAUACUUCACCAAAGUCCAUAGUGGGUAUUUAAUGUCCUGGGUGGGUGAACAGUCAAUAUGUUGCCCAGUUCCACAGGUCAAACAGGAAGUUCAACAAAAAUGGGUGCUUUGCCUGGACAUUACCGUAACAGGGGCAGUCUCUCCCUGUUACAAAAAGUAAACAUGAAUAAAAAAUAUGAGUUUCUAUUUUCAUGACAUAGGAGAGGUGUUGGAAAAGUCUCUGUACUAAGUCUCUACCAGUAUUUUUAUGCCUAUGAUACAGGAAACAAUUAUAAAGAUAAAAAGACAUAUUUUGCUACCUCUUGUUAGAAAGGAGUCAUUUGCAGUCCUAAAAAGACUAAGGUUUUUUUUUUAAGAUCCAGGCAAUAUUGACUAUGAUGUUUUGGGAGAAAUCUUUCUCACUGGACACCAAGACAUGUCAGUCUUUCUCCCCCUACUCCCCCUCCUGCCCCCUGAUCCCUCUCGUUCUGGUAAGUUUCUGUUUCCCCAUACAAACAGCCCUCCGAAUCUCCAAAUUGCCAAAUCUUUUCCGAAUCGAUUCUGAAGCUCCAAAUCGAUUCAGAAAGCCUAAAACAGCCAGAGAUUCGAUUCAGACAUGCUGAUUCAGCCUCCGAAUCGUCCGAAUCUAUUCUGAAUCUGAAUUGCGGUCUGAAGCUUUGCACAGCUCUACUUGUUUGGUCACUGCUAUGCAUUGGACCAACGUUUAUAGAUAACUGUCCAUGUUGACUCCAAGGUUCCUUUCCUGAGUCAUAGCUAGUUUUGAGCCCAGUAACUUAGCUAGUACUGUAAGAUUUAUUAAAAAGUAGAGGCUUGAAGAGCUUCCAGCUGCACGUUGGUGAAUUAUCUAGAACCAGCAAUUUAAAAAUGUGCACUUGUAAUGAAUUCCAAAAAAUAUAGUUCUUAGUAACUGCUGAAAAAUAAAGUAUUUCAUUAUUUUAUGAUGUAGAUACAUGACAUAUCUCAGGUCCAAUACAGAUGAGGAUGGAUACAAAGUAGGCAUGUUCUGACCCUUUGAAUGCUCCGGUGCAAAGAUAUGUUUGGACCCUUUGAAUGCUUUGCUGUGCAAAGAUGUUAUAUAGUAUAGCUUUCAGGGACCUACACUGACUCCUAUGUUCUAUAAAUGAAAUUUUUGGAUCAGACUUGAAUUUGGAACAGAAAUAUUGAAAACUUAUUUUCUCCAUUAUUACUGACAACUAUCACCUUAAUCUAAUAAAUCUAUACCACAGACUAGGAUUUUUUGUUGAACUGAUGUACUAAAAAAAGGGAAAAAAAAGUUUGUCCCAGUAACUUUUGCCCAUAAUUAUUUUUAGCUUUGGGAAUAUGGUGUCUUUAAAAGUGCUAAGCAUUCACUGCUGCAGAUAUGGUGGCUUUCCCACUUGGGAUGCCUAACAUAUUGCUGUGCAAAGCCUCAAACCUUUAGAUUCAUGUACUUUAAAAGCCUCUAGAUGAGUGGUGCUGAACAUUUCUGCCUGGCAGGAUGGAUGAGGUGUGCCAGAUCUAGGCUGGGACCCGAUCCCAGGGUAUGGUAAUGGCUUACCCAGGGCCUGGGCUCAAUUCUGCGGCAUGGGGCUGACCUGGUGAAAGCUGAUCCAGCCAUGUGGGGCCUGGAAAUUUGGCAGCAGGGGAGCCAUGGCAGUGUGAAUUGCCACUGCUCCCCUGUAGCAAAACCCCCAGUUAUUGUUGGUUUUUUUUAAUGCAUUCCCUCCCCUUCCCCAACCAUUUCUGACUUUCUCUCUGCUCUCUCUAUCCCUUAUAAAUGAUUUCAAGUAGUACUAGGUAAGCUAAGAUAAAUUCUUGUAUACUAUUAUUGUAAUAAGCCCCGUUCUUAUAUAUUGUAAAAAGUGUUCUGUUAUGUUUGUAUUGAUUUUUACUGUUUUAUAUUGUAUUAUAUUGUAUUCCUAUCAUUUGUGCAUUGAGUUUUAUUGUUUCAUAUUAACAUUGUACGAUUUAGGCCUGAAAUGUGGGUAGACAUGAGUGAUGUCAAGUAUCCAUUUUGUGUGUCAGGUUCCCAUCUUGUCCCCAUGCCCUGUUGUAUGUUGUAACCUAUGACUCAUUCCUACCCCUUCUAUCAGCAGCAGGAGCAUGGUGGUGGCAAACUUGGUUCCUGAAUGAAUGGGGAUGAAUGAGGGUGCUUGAGAGACAAUGGCAGUAGGUCUAAAAAUAGCUCCUUCUGAAUGACCGAACCAUCAAAACCAAUACCUGGACCAACAACCCAGCCAUUGGAACCACCCUCAGCAUUCAAGAAAAAGAUGAGGCAACCCACCAUUGUGCCAAGGCUGCACAUGCUUAGUAUGAACACCUGGAAUCCUCUGGAGCAGGACUGACAUUGCCUGGACAUGCCCUAUCCAUAGGAGAUCAUAGGUAGUCUGCCCCAUAAAAACGGGUAGUGAAGACCAACUCCUUGGGAUGCCCUCUCCAUCUGGACCAUGCCACACCACCUAUCCACCCAGAGGCCCUGCCGGCGACCCUCUCUGGACAACACCUGCUGGACAAAGACCCCUUUCCAGCUUGGAUAGGUAGCUAUCACCCCACCCUCUAUUCAACCAAGGACUUGGACUCUGUUUUUCUUCCCUACCUGGACUCCAACCCUUCCACUGAGUCUCUUUCUCCUGCUACCAUUGUAAGUAAGUGUGUGUGUGUGUGUGUGUGUGUGUGUGUGUGUGUGUGUGUGUGUGUGAGAGAACCAAUAACUUCAUGGGGCUGUGUAGUGUGUUGUCUGUUUAAUAAACCUGGUGUUUUGAAACCCCAA
Molecule: long non-coding RNA, 9634 nt
Organism: Alligator mississippiensis (American alligator)
Lineage: Eukaryota; Metazoa; Chordata; Crocodylia; Alligatoridae
Exons: 2
Source: RefSeq, a predicted model, not a curated record